RNAcentral lists this ribosomal RNA (381 nucleotides) under Corynebacterium propinquum. RNAcentral describes it as "bacterial SSU rRNA". It matches the Rfam family "Bacterial small subunit ribosomal RNA", at positions 383 to 774 of the family's 1533-position model. The record is from RNAcentral. Lineage: Bacteria; Bacillati; Actinomycetota; Actinomycetes; Mycobacteriales; Corynebacteriaceae.
CUGAUGCAGCGACGCCGCGUGGGGGAUGACGGCCUUCGGGUUGUAAACUCCUUUCGCCAGGGACGAAGCGUUUUGUGACGGUACCUGGAGAAGAAGCACCGGCUAACUACGUGCCAGCAGCCGCGGUAAUACGUAGGGUGCAAGCGUUGUCCGGAAUUACUGGGCGUAAAGAGCUCGUAGGUGGUUUGUCGCGUCGUCUGUGAAAUUCCACAGCUUAACUGUGGGCGUGCAGGCGAUACGGGCAUAACUUGAGUACUGUAGGGGUAACUGGAAUUCCUGGUGUAGCGGUGAAAUGCGCAGAUAUCAGGAGGAACACCGAUGGCGAAGGCAGGUUACUGGGCAGUUACUGACGCUGAGGAGCGAAAGCAUGGGUAGCAAACA